This 15435-nucleotide long non-coding RNA is filed under the name Daucus carota (carrot). Its description in RNAcentral is "long non-coding RNA (DCAR_LNC000909)". Lineage: Eukaryota; Viridiplantae; Streptophyta; Magnoliopsida; Apiales; Apiaceae. The record is from RNAcentral.
CUGAUCCUUAUAAGCCUAAGCCCAAGCCCACUCCCAAGCCAACUCCCACUCCUUAUCCAUCUGCAGGAAAAUGCCCUAAGGAUGCCCUAAAAUUAGGUGUUUGUGCUGAUGUCCUCAACUUGGUGCACAAUGUUGUGAUUGGAUCUCCACCAACACUCCCAUGCUGCAGCCUUCUUGAAGGCCUCGUCAACCUCGAGGCCGCGGUAUGCCUUUGCACAGCCAUUAAAGCCAACGUUCUGGGGAUCCAUCUCAAUCUUCCUAUUGCCCUCAGCUUAGUUCUAAACAACUGCGGCAAGCAAGUCCCAAAUGGCUUCGAAUGUACCUAAAUUUCUAGUGUGACAGAAGGAUCCUGAUGUGCUUUCUGGGGAUUUUGUUCUUUGUGUUUUUGAUUUAUUGUAAAGUGUGCUGUUUUUUGAUUGCAGUAUUGUUGGCUUAACAAUAUAUUCAUUUAUUUUUCUUUUAUGAAGUGAUUUAAUGGAAAAAAUUGUUUUGAGUUCGGUCACCUUAGAUUAGUUUGUGGCUUAUGGCUUGGUCAUGAAUACUUUAAUACUCCUCCGUCCCACAAUACAAGUCUCUUUUGAAAAAAUUACGCAUGUUGCAUUGGAAACUAGAAGUGAACAAGUAUUAUGAGAAAAAAUUUCUUCUAAAAGAGACUAGUAUUGUGGGACGGAGGGAGUACAUGAGUGUCAGAGAGAGUAAACUUUUAAGCGUGGUUAAAAUUUUUCAAACUCCGAAAAAUUACGCAUGUUGCAUUGGAAACUAGAAGUGAACAAGUAUUAUGAGAAAAAAUUUCUUCUAAAAGAGACUAGUAUUGUGGGACGGAGGGAGUACAUGAGUGUCAGAGAGAGUAAACUUUUAAGCGUGGUUAAAAUUUUUCAAACUCCGUGAAAAAAGUCUGAAAGACUAGGUAUCUAAAUGGUGGUGAGUAGUGUGCUAAAUUUACAAAAUUGGGAAAGAAAUUUUUAUAUAAAAUGACAUGAUAUAAUUGAGGUGAUAUGUUUUAAUUCGUGUUAUUUAUGUGAAUAUCGGAUUCUAUUUCAAUCAAAAGUUAACAGGUUUCAUCUUUUAAAAGAUUUUGUACCCAUUUUUGUAUACGUAAUAUUUUUCUACUUUUUAAUAUUAAACCUAAUGGCUCAUCUUGCUAAUUGUCCGAAGACAUUUUCUUUUCUUCAACUAAUAUAAUUAAGAAAUUCGGGAAAAUAAUUUUAGUUCUUAUGAUACAAAUCUAAAAAUAUUAAAAAGAGAUCAUGCACUUGCGAUAUCUUAAAAUUAUAUUUUUCGCACAUGGACUAAAAUUCUAAAGUUAAAACUUAACGUACCAAAGUAGUGACUAACUCAAAUUUUAUUAUUUGAAUUUAAUGAUAUAAAAUAAGAAAAACUAUUAUUUUUUGGGCCCCUCUUGGAAAUAUUUAAAUUCCCCUAAAAUGAGUUUUUCUCGGGGAGGGUUUGUCGCCAGCAAUCCUGACUACCUUACAGACGACUAAUCAAAUAUAUCUGUACGCACCUAGUUCUCUAUUCGGUGUUAAUGAUGCCCGUGACAAUGCUAGAGUCAAGAAUGAAUACAGAAAUACCCUCAUAAACGGACCAGAUGAAUGUGGAUAAAUUACAAAUAAAAGAAUCCUGAAAUAUUUGUCAGGGGCAGUCUAAAAUAUAUGUCGGAAAAUAUAAUCAUAAUAACUAGCACAUCUAAAAUUUGAAGGUGUUAGAGGAAGGCUCAACAAGAUCUUAUGCUCUUUUCCUAGUGCAGCAUCGAUCAGUAGGACUAGGGGUCGUUUUUACUAAUUUAAACACCUAAAAAUGAAAGAAAUCUGAAAAAAUUUAACUUCUGACGGUAAGAUGAUGCAUGAAACAACAGAACGAAACAGAUGUAAACUAUAUAAUAUGGUUGAUUUCGGUUUGCUUGAUCCAUAUCAUACAAUUUUUUGAAAAAAAGCGAGAACUCACUACUAGAUAUAUUGCAUUAGACCUCGAUUAUUAAUCAAACGGAUGUCUUCGCAUGUGCAGAGAAAAGUAAGGGUAUAUGACAUCGGUUUUUAGCCGAUGUUAAAGGGGAAGGAACAUAGACAAGGGUUUGCUUAUGAAAACUGAUGUAUUUAACUCAUAUUUCUAAUUAUAUUGUAAAACUAAAUAUGAAAUCUUUCUACAUUAGUAGGUUAAGGAGCAUUAUAAACAUAUAUAAUACGGAAGAAUAUUAGACUCAUGCAUAGAUCAGAAUUGUUGUCAUUAUGAACAUGUCAAAACAUACUACAAACAAAGCUAUGUUAAAUCAUGAGAUAAAGAGCAAGCCAUGUUAAAAAACCAGGCUUUUACAUCAAUCGAGAACCUAACACUCUUAGAACUAUUUUCUCAAUGCCAAAUCCAAUCAAUAAUACCCCCCUUAUUAUUUCAUUAAGUACUUAUUCACUUCAAUAAGUUGUUUAUAAAUCAGACUAUGCUUCCUCUAUAUCAGUUCACGGGACAUCAAUUAUUGAUCAUAUGUGACAAGAACAUGCCAAGUUGUUCAUGUAUUAUUCACUCAUAUAGCCUCCAAAAAUAUCUCUUCAUUUAAUGUGCUUGACAGCUCAAUUUCACGAACUUAUCACACAGAAACCCCCUAUAAAUUCAUCACUAAUCACAAUCCUUUCCAUUACAACAUAAACACUCUUCUAAGCCUCUGAUCAACAAUAGUUCUCAUUAGUCUUUGAGUUUGAGAGAUGGGGUCCAAGAACAGUGCUUCAGUAGCUCUCUUUCUCACCCUUAACAUUCUCUUCUUUGCAUUGGUGAGUUCCACUGAAAAAUGCCCUGAUCCUUAUAAGCCUAAGCCCAAGCCCACUCCCAAACCAACUCCCACUCCUUAUCCAUCUGCAGGAAAAUGCCCUAGAGAUGCCCUAAAGUUAGGUGUCUGUGCUGAUGUCCUCAACUUGGUGCACAAUGUUGUGAUUGGAUCUCCACCAACACUCCCAUGCUGCAGCCUUCUUGAAGGCCUCGUCAACCUCGAGGCCGCGGUAUGCCUUUGCACUGCCAUUAAAGCUAACAUAUUGGGAAAGAACCUCAAUCUUCCUAUUGCCCUUAGCUUAGUUCUUAACAACUGCGGCAAGCAAGUUCCAAAUGGCUUCGAAUGUACCUAAAAUUUCUAGUGUGAGAGAAGGAUCAUGAUGUGCUUUCUGGAUUUUGUUCUUUGUGUUUUUGAUUAUUGUAAAGUGUGCUGUUUCUGAUUGCAGUAUUGUUGGCUUAACAAUAUAUUAAUUUUUUUUUUUUGUCAUUUAUGAAGCAAUUCAAUGGAAAAUUUUGUUUUGAGUUCUGUCAUCUUAGAGUAGUUAUUAGUUUGUGUUCAUGAGUACUAAUUUGCAGACUACUCAAGCCCAUGUGCAAAAUUGAAAGUAUUGUGUUGUGAAUAUUAAAAUUUCGAAACUGGUAAAAUUUCAUAUAUAUAGUACCCAUUAUUCUUUAGAAAAUCGGUGAUUAAACAACAUUAAUAACCGAUUAAUUACCGUUUCGUAAUUCGUCGAGCUAAUUAAAUUUCGAAUUAUUUAACAAUCAUUUAAUUGAAUUUUUUUUGAUCCAAAUAACCCAUGUUCCAUACUGUAAAUAUAAUAUUGGCAUCAAUAUAAAUCUUAAAUAAAUGGAUCCAUAAAAAUAAAAAUGUUGGAAUUCAUGCACUUGCAUAUUCAUUUUCAUAUUCAGAGUAUCUAUUUAUUAUAUGUUCAUGCAACUUGUAAUCAAGUUCAUUUAGAGUUCUUUGUAUCAACUCUUUAAAUAUUCUCUAGAAUCUAUACAAAGUAUAUUCUACAUCAUUUGUAAUUCACUUCAAUCAGUGAAAUCAAAUUUAGAAAUAUAAAAGUUCUUUCAUCUUUAUUUCUUUUUUUUUUCCAUCUAUAUUUCUUUCUUAGAGCUCGUAGCAACUCAUUUAGUUUCAUUCAAAAAUUAUAUGCCUAAAAGAUGUAUAUAAAUGAAAUUGUUCAAACGUAUUUUAGUUGUAAUAUAUACGCCUAUUAGAAUAUGUUAAAAUAAAAUAUCUGUAAACCGACCUCUAAUUUGACAUUUGCUUCAUUAAAACAAAUAUUAUAUAUAUUUGAAGCUAUGAAAAUAAUUAAAAAAUAAUUUGAUCAAAGAAAAUGAAAAUAUUUAAAUUAAUUUUACUACAAGUCUGAGUAAAACAAAAAACCAUAAACUAGUAGUUAAUUUAAAUACCAACCACCCGACUACUAAGAUUUUUAGGAUUUUUUAUAAAUACCUACAUCUUAAAAACAAUUGCAAAAAUAUUAUCACUUUUUAAAACAAAUUGCAAAAAUACUAUGUUUUUUUAAAAAAAUAUUGACAAAAAUAAGGAGGUUGCAUAUGCAACCAUAUUUGCAACUGUUAGCAACUAUAUAUGCAACCACAAAUACAAUUUUGACUGAAAAUUUGCAGGUACUUGCAAAUGACGAAAAUGAGUACCUCUGCGUUGCCAAUACUAAUAUCACAAAAGUAACCAUGAAAUGAACUAAAACAUAACGAGAAAAUCAAUUAAAAGCAACUCAACAACCUUCAAAGAAACUGAAUUCAGGUAACAAUUGUUAUGUUUUGAUUUUGUAUAAAUGUAUAUAUGAUUUUGUGCAUGCAUAUACGUGUUUGCGGUCAGUGGCGGAGGCAGAACACAAUACUCAAGGAGGCACUUUUUAAUUUUUAAUAUUCUAGGGGCAAUUUUUAACAUUCCAGGGUCACAAGGAGUAAUAUUUUGUAGAUUAAUAUUGUCAAAUAUAUGGAUCUCAUAUAAAAACAUAUACACUUUUCUGAAACCUACGGGGGCAUGGGCACCCAGAGGCCCCCAUGUCCCUCCGCCUCUGUUUGCGGUGCUGGUGGGCUUGGUGGUGUCCGAAUGCGGGGCUCGAAAGGGUGGUGUGGGGAUUAGUUUUUUAACCGGAGGAGGGGAUGUACAUUGGAGGCUGUUGAUGUUGAUUGUUGGUCUAUAAUGGCCGACUGUAGGAAUGGAUGUUCGUGCGGGAGGAAUAAGGAGAGGGAGAAGAGAGUGCAUAUUGAGAUAGAGAAGAGAUUGAGAGCAAAGAUGAGGUAGAGGCAUUUGUUGGAGUAAGGAGAAAUAGGAACACAAAAGCACCCUAGAAAUCAGGAAGCCUGAACAACUAAAAAUACUUGCCCACAUAAUACUCCACUACUUAACUCCCUUGCUUCAAACAUGCAGAUCACACCAAGAAGUUUUCGGAAAUAAUAAUGCUUAGCUUGAGAAAGCGACUUCGUCAAAAUAUCAGCUUUUUGUUCAUUUGUUGGACAAAAUUUGAGCUGCAAUUCUCCAUCUGCUGUGUGACUGCGGAUAAUAUGAUAAUGAAUGUCGAUGUGUUUGGUUCUACUAUGGAAGGCUAGAUUUCUUGUCAUUGCUAUUGUUGCUUUAUUAUAACAAUACAUUUCUGUUGCACCAUCUUGUUUUUGAUGUAUAUCAACCACCACACGUUGCAACCAUAAAGCUUUAAACAUAUUCAGCCUCCGACGAAGAUAAAGCAACCACAUCCUACUUCUUUGAACUCCAUAAAAUUUCUCCUGAACCCAAAGCUAAAAACAUGACCUGAAGUGCUCUUUCUAUCAUCAAGACAACCUACCCAAUCACUGUCGCUAUACCCAAAAAGCUUGAAAUCCGCAUCUUUUGAAUACCAAAUCCCAAACUCAGUCGUCCCUGCUAUAUGACCAAGUACUCUCUUUGCGGCACCUAAAUGUUGCUUUGUUCGAUUAUGCAUAUACCUGGAUAGCACACUCACAGAGUGCAUGAUAUCUAGUCGUGUAUGCGUCAGAUAAUUUAGCCCGCCAAUCAGACUUCUGCAAUAGCUUGUAUAUGCAAUUGGUGUACCAUCUUAAGCCUACAAUUUUUCACCGGUAUUCAUAGGUGUAGCUGCUGCCUUACAAUUUUUCAUAUGAAACCUACAGAGCAGGUCUUUAGCAUAUUUCUUUUGCGCAACAAAUAUUCCAUCAUCUGCUUGUUUCACCUCAAGACCAAGAAAAUACUGCAAUGUCCCUAAAUCUGACAUCUCACACUCACUUUUCAUACAUGACCUGAACUCAUUAACAAGAGUUUCAGACGAUCCAAAAUAGAUCAUGUCAUCAACGUAAGUGCGUAUUACUAAGAAUUCGCCAUUAUCAUGCUUUUCACAUAUAGAGUGGGUUCAUUUUCGCUCCUGACGAAACCAUGUUGUAGAAAGUAAGAAUCAAUUCUCUUGUACCAUGCUCUCGGUGAUUAUUUUAACCCAUAAAGAGCUUUAAUUAGCUUGUACACCUUAUUCUCCUUCUCAUUAACAACAAAUCCAUCAGGCUGUGAGACAUAAACAUCCUCUUCUAGCUCCCCAUUUGGGAAAGCAGAUUUUAGAUCAAAUUGAUGCACAUGUAAGUUCAUUUUAGUAGCUAAACAAAGGAGAGUUCUUACCGUUUCAAAACGAGCCACCGGUAAGAGAGUUUCGUCAAAGUCAACACCUUCCUGUUGACCGUACCCUUUCGCCACGAGCUUGCUUUAUAUAUACUUUUGGAUGAUCCCAUCUGCAUGAUGCUUUAUCUUAUAUACCCAUUUGAGACCAAUGAGAGUUUUUCCUUCUGGUAAAUCAACCAAUUCCCAUGUUUUGUUACGAACAAUAGCUUGCAAUUCUUCAACCAUUACAUUCUACUAAUUUUCAGUGUUAAUUGCUUUUUCAAAAGAUUUAGGUUUCGACACAUUUAAUGCAAAGGGAAGAGAUUCAUAUAUCUCCUCAAUAGACUUCAUUUUUUUGGAGGUGUUUCACUUGAAGGAGUACAGGAUGAAGAGUUCACUGGAGACCCGCUUCCAUCAAAUUUUUUAUCAACACUAACCAGUGAAUUUGGAAGACAAGAAGGAACAUUGGAAUAACCAAUUGGUUCAUCUUGGAUGGCAACUUGAUACUAAUAUCGACAAGAUCAGAAGCAACAUUCCAGCUUGAUUCCUCAUUAAAUACAACGUCCCUGCUGAUGAUGAUAACUUUUUCCUUCACCGUAUCGUACAACUUGUAUGCUUUCGAAGGAAUGCUAUAAUUGAUAGAUUUGCAUUUUGUAGCUUUCUCAUCAAGAUUUUUACGAUAUAGAGCAUCCACUAAAACAUAAGCAACGAACCAAAUACACUUAGAUGACUUACAUCAGGCUUACUACCUUCCCAUGCUUCGUAUGGAGUUUGAUUAUACACUGCCUUGGUUGGACAAAUAUUCAGAAUGUACACAGCUGUAGCAACAGCUUCACCCCAAAAUAUUUUAGGAAUGCCUCUUUCUUUCAUAAUACUUCUUGUCAUCUCUACAAUUGUGCGAUUUUUUCAUUACGCGAUGCCAUUUUGUUGGGGCUUGCGAGGUGCUGUGAGUUCUCGAAAUAUAUCAUUAUUUUCACAAUAAGUAUUAAAUUCUUGUGACAAGAAUUCACCUCUCCUAUUUGUUCAAAGUGUCUUGAUCAUUCUCUCACCUCGCUUUUCCACGAGAGACUUAAAUUUCUUAAAACAACCAAAUGCCUCAGAUUUGUACUUCAAAAAGUAGACCCAACACAUACAGCUUUAAUCAUCAACAAGAAGUAGGAAAUAGAGACUUCCACCCAAAGUUUCUACAGACAUUGGACCACACAAAUCUUCAUGAAUUAGUUCUCAACAUAUUGAAGCUCUCCAAGCCUUGCCUACUGUGAAUGUUUGUCUACUCUGUUUUCCAUAAACACAGCCCUCACAAAAACUGAGAUUACUGAUUUUGGGCAGCCCAAUUAUCAUAUCCUUGUUUCCUAAUAACAGUAAACCUCUAACAUUUAAAUGACCAUAUCUUAAAUGCCAUAGAUUUUAUUUGGAAUCAUUUGCUAAAAGGGCAUGACUCUGGCUCACAUUAAGAGGAAACAUUCUAUUCGAGCCAUAAAUAGAUUGUUUUCUUCAUCUAGAUAUUCAUCGGCUUGGUGAUAUUUAUUCUAUUCGAGCCAUAAAUCGAUUGUUUAAAAAUAUAGUAAAUUUGUAAGGUUUUAGACAAGUUAGUAUAUGUACAAAUAAAUAUUCAAAGAUGAGUAUAUUUUUCAAAUUCCCAAAUUUUCAUAUUUUAAUUUUCAUAUGAUAAUAUAAAUUAUACAUAUUAUAAUAUAAUUAAUAAGUUAUGAGAUUAUUAGAUAAAAUAAAUACGAUAAAAUAUUUACCUGAGGGAUUCAAUACUUUGACGCUCAAUUAUCAAAAUAUAUAUUCCUAAUAUGUUAGUUUCUUAAUAUUUUGACAUCUAUUUUUAAGAAUUUUGACCACACACAUAAAAAAUGUAUUUACAAAAGUAAAAUUUUAGAAAUAUUUCCUCCAUCCUAUUUUAACUCAUGUUAAAUUUUUUGACACAGAUUUUAAGGUGCUAAAUAUCACAUCUAAAUAUAAUAUUUUUAUUAUAAAAUCUAUAUCAAAUAAAAAUCUAGAAACUAAACUUUAAAAAUUUAAUAUGAAAGUUAAAUAUUUUUGUUAAGUGUUAUUUUUUAAACUAUAAUAUAUAUAUAUAUGUCAAAUGCCAAAAAUAGUAAUGGAGGAAGUAAUAUUUUUUUAAAACUCUUCAAAAUACAUAUAAAAAGUCCAACUGAAUAAAAUUAUUUUUUAUGAUUAAACUUAAGGGUUUUUAUACAUAACCAAGUUUGGAAGAAUUUUUGCGAAAAUACUAUCAGUUUUUUAAAAUUACGGUGGUUGCAUAGGCAACCCGCAUCUGAAACUGCCAGCCAGCAACAACCACAUGCAACGAGAAAUGCAACUUUGAAAUAAAAAAAUUUGGAAAUUAUAUUUGUUUCUAUAAUAGGUUACAACCGGUUGCAAGACAGAAAAAUAACCCCUACCGGCCAAACAUUACGACCUAAAAACAACUAAUACAACAACUUUUGCAAUUUUGAAACAGACUACUCAAAUUAACUAUCCCAGCCACUCAUUCUUCAAACAAACUCUUCGACUACAACUCAAUCAAAAAGAAGAACAAGACUCGGACCUGCGACUUGGACUCAGAGAAAACACACAAGAAAUCAGCCACUCUCGGUGUCACAGCAAAACACAACAAACAAAUCUCAAGAAAUCGAAGCAAAAUCCAGCAGAAUCAAACAUCAACUCAGCUACUCGGCGUGACUCGGAGGUGACUCGGUGCAAAUCACAAACAAAAGAACGAAAAGACGCAACCAGAUGAGGAGCCUAGGCGGGACUUGGCGGCGCGUGAGAAUAGGGAGAGGUGGGAGAGUUCGUCGGCGAGGGGGAUGGGCAGGAAGAUGAUAGUGCGGGUUGAAGAGGAGGGAGGGUUUGAAGAGUGAUUAAUUGAUUGUUGGAGAGAGAGAGAGAGUGGGGGUGAGGUGAGAGAGGAGGAAAAAUAAGUAGUAAAGAAAUAAAAAGGUGAAUUAGAGAAGGUAGUAUUUUUGAAAAUAAGAUUGAAAAAAUGUAAUAUAUUUGAAAGAUUUUUGAGAGGGUGUAUAUUUGUAAAUAAGAUCCAUAAAAAUAGUAUACAUGGCAAAUAAUGGUUCAUCAGUGUGAUUAUAAUUCUAGGAGUUAAAAAUUAACAUACUGAUUACCGACUAACAAAAAUUUUAGUAUUUGAAUUUAAGGAUAUGAAACUAAAUACUCCCUCCAUCCCACAAUACAUGCCUCUUUUAAAAAAAUUAUGCAUAUUAAGAAAACAUUAAUUAGAUAAAAAUUUCUCACUUAUACCCUAAUGAAUACAUGAAUGUAGACUAUUAUUCAACCUAUAUUAAUUGAAAUUUUGGAAUAAUGUCAAUAUAUUUGCAUUUGGAAACUAAAAGUAAACAGGUAUUAUGAGACAAAAAAUUCUUCCAAAAGAGACAUGUAUUGUUGGACGGAAGGAGUAAAAUAUAUAAUUAAUCUGGGUCCCUCUUGGAAAUAUCAAAAUUCCGGUAAAAUGAAGAGUUCUUUCUCGGGGAGGUUUUGUCCACCUUACAGAGAUAAAAAAUCAAAUAUAUUUAAUCUGGUUGAUUUCGGUUUGCUGAUACCAUACAAUUUUUUUUUUUUUUUUAAAGCAAGAACUCACUACUAGAAUUAGACAUUGGCUCUUAACCGAAUUGAUGUCUUCGCCUGUGUAGAAAAAGGUCGGGGUAUAUGACAUCGGUUUCAGCCGAUGUAAAAGGGGAAGGAACAUGGACAAUGAUUUGCUUAUGAAAACUGAUGUAUUUAACUCAUAUUUCUUAUUAUAUUGAAAAACUAAAUAUGAUAUUUUGCUACAUUAGGAGGUUAAGGAGAAUCAUAAACAUAUAAUACGGAAGAAUAUUAGACUCAUGAUAUAGAUCAGAAUUGAUGUCUUUAUGAACAUGUCAAAAUAUACUAAAAAUUAACAAAGCUAUGUCAAAUGAUAUAAAGAGCAAGCAAUGUUAAAACCAGGCUUUUACAUCAGGAACCUAACACUCUUAGAACUAUUUUUUCCAUGCCAAAUUCAAUCAAUAAUACCCCAAACUGAAAUCUUUUGGCUUAAUGUCCUUUUAACCCUAGAUGUUUGGGGGUGUGCCGAUGCGGCCUUACUGUUUUAACUCGGCCACUCCAAGUAUCCGAUAUGUUUUGAUUAGCCCUCAUACCAUGAGGAAGCAAAAAAACAGUAUAUAACAAAGGUUAAACUUGACAAUUCUAUUAAAGAUAAAGUUUUCUCAUUGCUCUUAACCCCUAAAGGAUACAUUAGAUGUUUCUUUCAACCCCUAAAGAAUACAUUAUAAUACAUUAGAUGUUCCUUUUAACCCUUAAGUUUAAUGCCCACAAAUGUGAAAUGUCAUGGUUGUCCAUCCGUUAUAUACCAUAUUUUGGUAUGAGGGCUAAUCGGAACAUAUCAGACAUUUGGAGGGUUGAAUCCGCCAAGUUAAAAUAUUGAGACUGUAUCGAGACACAUGGCGAACAUUGAGGGUUAAAAGGUCAUUUAACCAAUUCUUUUCAUAUAAAUGACCCCUAUUGUUUCAUUAAGUACUUAUUCACUUCAAGAAGCAGUUUAUAAAUCAGACUAUACUUCCUCUAAAUCAGUUCACGAGACAUCAAUUAUUGAUAUGUGACAAGAACAUGUCAAGCUGUUUAUGUAUUAUUCAGCCAUAUAGCCUCCAAAAAUAUCUCUUCAUUUAAUGUGCUUGACAGCUCAAUUUCACGAACUUAUCAGAGAAACUCCCCUAUAAAUUCAUCACUAAUCACAAUCCUUUCCAUCACAACAUAAACAUUCUUCUAAGCCUGAUCAACAAUAGUUCUCAUUAGCCUUUCUGUAGUUUGAGAGAUGGGUUCCAAGAACAGUGCUUCAGUAGCUCUCUUUUUCACUCUCAACAUUCUCUUCUUUGCCUUGGUCAGUUCCACUGAAAAAUGCCCUGAUCCUUAUAAGCCUAAGCCCAAGCCCACUCCCAAACCAACUCCCACUCCUUAUCCAUCUGCAGGAAAAUGCCCUAGAGAUGCCCUAAAGUUAGGUGUCUGUGCUGAUGUGCUCAACUUGGUGCACAAUGUUGUGAUUGGAGCUCCACCAACACUCCCAUGCUGCAGCCUCCUUGAAGGCCUUGUCAACCUCGAGGCCGCGGUGUGCCUUUGCACUGCCAUUAAAGCCAACAUACUGGGAAAGAAUCUCAAUCUUCCUAUUGCCCUCAGCUUAGUUCUAAACAACUGCGGCAAGCAAGUCCCCAAUGGCUUCGAAUGUACCUAAAAUUUCUUGUGAGAGAUGGACUGUGAUCUGCUUUCUGGAUUUCGUUCUUUGUGUAUUUCAUUAUUGUAAAGUGUGCUAUUUCUGAUUGCAGCAAUUCAUUUGGUUUUUAUUGAAAUUAUUUAAAGAACACUGAAGUCCCCGGUGCAGGUAUUGUGUCACGGGUGAAUACUAAAAUUUGGAAAUUGUUAAGAAUUUCAUAUAUUAUUACAUAGGAUCUUAUCUCCUCCACCAAUAAACUCAAUUAUGAUAAAUUUAAAGUAUGAUUUUUAAUUCGAAACAUCCAUAUAUAUAUAUGUGUGUGUAUGGACAUCAUUAUAAAAUAUUAUUUGUCCUUUUCACAAAUAAUACUGGCGAUCUAUUGAUCUUGUAAAUUUUCAUUGAAAAAACUCUUGUAAUUCAACAUUAUACCCAUCCAAGUCUUUUUGAUUGAAUUCAAAAUUAUGACAUAUGACUUAAUGCGAUAAAUUAGUUAGGUGUUUAAAAUUUCUGUUCGGAUAAUUUUGACUUAUUAAUCAUUUAAAUAUUAUUAAAAAUAUAAUAAUAAUAAUAAUAAUAAUAAUAAUAAUAAUAAUAAUAAUAAUAAUAAUAAUAUUUGGAUAACUUUUAUCGAAAAGAGAGGUUUUAAUAAAUUAGGUUACUCAAAAAGAUAACUCAAACUAACUUAUGACAUUUAGUUUAUCGACUCUGACUUUAAGCCAGUUUCUGACUUAUUGUGCAUGUUUGGCUAAUGCUACUUCUAACUUUUGCCGACUUCGAUCUAAUAUAACAGACAUUUUUCGGCUUAAAUGAGAAACAGUUUUUAGCCUUAAUUUACAGCCUUUUUGUUUAGGCUUUAAGCCUAAAAUUGCUAGCCUCAUCAGCUGGGGAUAUUUAUUCUCUGUGGAUUGAUUCUUUGUGUUUUUCACUUUUGUUUCUCGUUGUGGUAUUGUUGGGUGAACAAUAUAUUCAUUUGUUUGUAUCAGGCGAUUUAAUGAAAAAAAUUGUUUAGUAUUCUGUCAACUUACACUAGUGGCUUAUGGAUACUAAUAGCGGAAUAAAUUUUGUAAAUUAUAAAAUUUAUACGCUAUUUUCACUACAUAUAUAUGAACCAUUGAUUCAAUAUACAAAUAGAUAAAAUCAUCAUAAAUGAGAAUUAUAAUUUCUUUUGUGAUUCAUGUAUUCAUUACUAUAAAGAUAUUACUAUUUACUAAUUAAUAUACAGAAAUGAUUGACCAUAUAAGUGAAAUCAACUGUAUUUUGAAUAGGAAAAGGGAGCAUAGAUAAGAAUUUAAUUAUAUGUAUUGUAAAAGAUGUAUUUCUAUAUAAAGCCUUACCAGAAAAUUUUAAUAUAUCAAGUUUUAAGCCCUAAAUGUUGUUUUAAAACUUUUUCCUAACCACAUAAUAAUGACAACCAAAUAAUAUUGUAUAAUGCAGGUAAAUAUAAGUACAUGUCCAAUAAAGUAUUGCUAAAAAAAUUUUUGUAUAUAAUAUAAAGCAUUCAUUGUAAUGAGAAAAGGAUAAUUGAUAAAGAAUUAUUACGAAAAGACGGAAUUAGAUUGCUUUCAGUAUAAAUUUCACCAAAAUAUUAUAUAAAAUUACAUUAUUGUUAAUGAUCUUGGAUAAUAUUAUGAUCGCAACCUUAUAUCCGUCACACACACACAUAUAUAUAUAUAUAUAUAUCACUAUCACUUUACUCCCAACCUAUUAUUAAUAUAACUACGAGAAAUCUCUCCGUUAGACAAUAUUCAGUGAUAGUCAGUUUUAGCCUGGUCGGUUUAGACAUAUUGGUCGUAUUUAAUAUAUAAAAUCCAUCAUCGCGGUAGUUGGUUUUAACUGGUGCAAAAAACGUACACAAAUGGGACCUACAUUGCCGGCCGGUGCCACUUAGACGCAAGUGCCAUGUGUGCACAUAUAAUCGAGCGGAUUGGUGGUCGGUUAUGGUGUUUGACCAAAAAGGUCAAAUGUGGUCGGUUAUGGUGUUUAACCCAAUGAUCGGGUCUAUUCGAGAAGAAGCUAUGGCCUAUUAGAACCGACCACAUAACCGGCCGGUGAAGGUGGUCGAUUUAACCAAAAGAGGUGGUUGUCGGUCGGUUAGCUCACCUUGGUCGGGUUUAUCACAUAAGCGGCGGGAGCUUUUUAAAUCUGACCAACCAUAAUUGACCAGUUUUUUGAGAUUCGGUCGGUUUUUGUACUCUAACAAAUAAAAUGUUAGAGUGCAAAAUUUAUUUCAUUCUCCCUCCAUUCCAUUCCAUCCAAGUGAACACAUAUCUAAGACUGUGUUCACUUAUAUGGAAUGGAAUGAGGAGUAGAAUGUAAUGAGAAAUUAUAUAGAAAUUUUAUGGGAAAAUAUGAGAUAAUAAUGACUAAAUAUGAAUGAGUUUAAAUAUCUUGUGAUAAAGAUGGUAAAAAAACAUGAUGUAGAAAUGGAUUGAGCAUUCAUCCAAAACACGUGGAUGUGGGUUAGAAUUUUAGUAAUAUAGUAGCAUUAAUGGAAUGAUGGAAGGAAUGGAAAUUUUGAAAACUUUCUCUUACCAACAUCAUAUUAGAGUAUAAAAUUCAUUCUAUCUUCCCUCCAUUCCACUCGGUGAACACAACCUCAGUUUUCUGAAGAAAGCAUGUCACGCAUUUCCGUUUAUUAUUGUUCGAAAUCGCUUAUAUAAAACACUACAAGAUGAACCAUAUAUAUAUAAUACUUUUGUAACUUUUUCUAUUACGUCCCAUUUAAAUUUUCUUCUUUAACCUUUUAUGUCUCCAGGAUUCUUUCUAGGGCAGGGUUGGUCCAUACCCUGACCACCUUACAGAAUAAUCAAAUAAACCUGUACGAAUAUGUUUAUCUUCAUAUUCCCGUGUAUUGUUUGGUGUUAAUGAUUCCCGUGACAGUUAGAGUCAAGGUUCAACUCAAGUUCCAACAAUUAUACAUGGGAAAAGUAACACAUUGUCACAAAGGUAAAAUUAAAGCCCGAAGUGUUGUCAGCUGUAGAUAGUUCUUAAAUUGGUGAUAGGCUUGUUGACAAUUUAGACUUAUAUGUCUUAGAAAUGAGUAUCUGUUCUAAUACUUCUCAACAAUUUAGACUUAUAUGUGUUAGAAAUGAGUAUUUGUUCUAAUACUUCUCGAAUGAGUCAGAGUUAGAGUUGAACCCGGGUGUUCUAAAACAACAGAGGAUAAACGUCCCACCACUUGGGCUAUCCAGUCCUGCUCAAACAAUUAUUGUAUUAUUAUUACUUCAGAUCGAUUAUCAUUUUACUGCUGGGCACAACACUAAUUACUGUUUGAGUGUUUAUUAUUGAUCAUUCUACUUUGUUUUCUCGACGCAAGACUUGGAGUUGAACACGAUCUACACUUGCAUUAUAGAAGUUCCUGGUUCGAUCUUUAAUGAUUAGCAGACAUCAGAUUCAGAUGAACAUGACAAUUUGUAUAACCAACCAAUUUUGAUGUGCUUGCCAGAUCAAUUUCCGAAGCCAUGUCGAAAAACUUCCCUAUAAAUUCAUCCCUUUGACAACAACCUUCUCCAUCAGAACAACGACCCUUCUAAAAUCUGAUCACCAAUUGCAACUUAUUCGAAAAAAAUGGGUUCCACCAACACUGCUUCAGUUGCUCUAUUUUUCGCCCUCAACAUUCUCUUCUUUACACUAGUCAGUUCAUGCGACACUUGUUCUGGUCCGAAGCCUAAGCCUAAGCCAACUCUUCCAACUCCAUAUCCAGCAAAUCCAUCUGCCGGAAAAUGCCCUAGGGAUGCCCUAAAACUAGGCGUCUGUGCUGAUGUCCUCAAUUUGGUGCACAAUGUUGUGAUUGGAUCUCCACCAACACUCCCAUGCUGCAGCCUUCUUGAAGGUCUCGUCAACCUCGAGGCCGCAGUAUGCCUUUGCA